GUAGUUGUAGCUCAAUAGGUAGAGUAACUAUUUGUGGCAUAGUCGGUUCCCGGUUCGAAUCCGGGCAUUUACC
Molecule: non-coding RNA, 73 nt
Organism: Hammondia hammondi
Lineage: Eukaryota; Apicomplexa; Conoidasida; Eucoccidiorida; Sarcocystidae
Source: Rfam